Molecule: ribosomal RNA, 433 nt
Filed under: Colletotrichum musae
Lineage: Eukaryota; Fungi; Ascomycota; Sordariomycetes; Glomerellales; Glomerellaceae
Description: eukaryotic LSU rRNA
Rfam family: 5.8S ribosomal RNA (bases 102-255)
Source: RNAcentral
CCCUCCCGGCCCCCCGCCCCCGGGCGGGUCGGCGCCCGCCGGAGGAUAACCAAACUCUGAUUUAACGACGUUUCUUCUGAGUGGUACAAGCAAAUAAUCAAAACUUUUAACAACGGAUCUCUUGGUUCUGGCAUCGAUGAAGAACGCAGCGAAAUGCGAUAAGUAAUGUGAAUUGCAGAAUUCAGUGAAUCAUCGAAUCUUUGAACGCACAUUGCGCCCGCCAGCAUUCUGGCGGGCAUGCCUGUUCGAGCGUCAUUUCAACCCUCAAGCUCUGCUUGGUGUUGGGGCCCUACAGCAGAUGUAGGCCCUCAAAGGUAGUGGCGGACCCUCCCGGAGCCUCCUUUGCGUAGUAACUUUACGUCUCGCACUGGGAUCCGGAGGGACUCUUGCCGUAAAACCCCCCAAUUUUCCAAAGGUGACCUCGGAUCAGGUA